This 177-nucleotide non-coding RNA is filed under the name Salegentibacter sp. 24. Lineage: Bacteria; Pseudomonadati; Bacteroidota; Flavobacteriia; Flavobacteriales; Flavobacteriaceae. The record is from RNAcentral.
UCCACCGCGAGGUGGAAUCUGAAGGAAGCCGGCGGCAAAGUUCUGGUCCGAGGGACACGAACAUCAUAUAAGGCAUAUCUGGUCUGGAUGAACUUACAUUGCAAAGCAAAGUCCUAAAGCUAUACGGAAGGCCAGAAGGUGUAAAUGAUGCGGAUAUAUGGAACGAAGGUGAUAUGU